AAAAAAACAAACCCUAGAUUUCCGUACCAACGUUUGACUGUCCGUAUUAUAUAAAUUUUUUUUAUAAUUAGUAUUUUUAUUAUUGUUAGAUGAUAAAAUAUGAUUAAUACUUUAUGCGUGACUUAUCUUUUUAAUUUUUUAUAAUUUUUUUCAAAAAGACGGACGGUCAAGCGUUGGACACGGAAACCAGGGUUUGUCUUUUU
Non-coding RNA from Oryza glumipatula, 203 nucleotides. The record is from Rfam. Lineage: Eukaryota; Viridiplantae; Streptophyta; Magnoliopsida; Poales; Poaceae.